UGGAUGAUGUGAUUAAUUCGAUGCAAACGCGAAAAACCUUACCUACCCUUGACAUGUCUGGAACCUUGGUGAGAGCCGAGGGUGCCUUCGGGAGCCAGAACACAGGUGCUGCAUGGCUGUCGUCAGUUCGUGUCGUGAGAUGUUGGGUUAAGUCCCGCAACGAGCGCAACCCUUGUCCUGUGUUGCUACCCCGCAAGGGGAGGACUCUCAGGAGACUGCCGUGGAUAACACGGAGGAAGGUGGGACGACGUCAAGUCAUCAUGGCCUUUAUGUCCAGGGCUACACACGUGAUACAAUGGUGCAGACAGAAGGUUGCAAGACCGUAAGGUGGAGCCAAUCCCCAAACUGCACCCUAGUUCAGAUUGAGGGCUGCAAUUCGCCCUCAUGAAGCUGGAAUCGCUAGUAAUCGCAGAUCAGCAGGCUGCGGUGAAUACGUUCCCGGGCCUU
RNAcentral lists this ribosomal RNA (447 nucleotides) under uncultured bacterium. RNAcentral's name for it is "bacterial SSU rRNA". It matches the Rfam family "Bacterial small subunit ribosomal RNA", at positions 933 to 1382 of the family's 1533-position model. The record is from RNAcentral.